AACGCGAAGAACCUUACCAAGGCUUGACAUCCUGCCAAGCUUUCCGAAAGGAAAGUGUGCCUUCGGGCCGCAGUGACAGGUGAUGCAUGGCCGUCGUCAGCUCGUGUCGUGAGAUGUUUGGUUAAGUCCAUCAACGAGCGCAACCCUUAUAGUUAGUUGAAUUUUUCUAGCUAGACUGCCCCGGUAACGGGGAGGAAGGAGGGGAUGAUGUCAGGUCAUUAUUUCCCUUACGCCUUGGGCCACAAACACGCUACAAUGGCCGGUACAAAGGGCAGCUAAGUCGCGAGACGGAGCAAAUCCCAUCAAAGCCGGUCUCAGUUCGGAUAGUAGGCUGAAACUCGCCUGCUUGAAGCUGGAAUCGCUAGUAACGGUAGGUCAGCACACUACCGUGAAUACGUUCCCGGGCCUUGUA
Molecule: ribosomal RNA, 412 nt
Filed under: uncultured Candidatus Saccharibacteria bacterium
Lineage: Bacteria; Candidatus Saccharimonadota
Description: bacterial SSU rRNA
Rfam family: Bacterial small subunit ribosomal RNA
Source: RNAcentral